CCUUUUUUGGCAAGGACCCGGGUGUUCUUGUUCAAAUCAAGAUAAAGAAUUAUGGGUUGUAGCAGUUGUUCAACCGUCAAGGAUGGAC
RNAcentral lists this transfer RNA (88 nucleotides) under Muriicola marianensis. Its description in RNAcentral is "tRNA-Leu". The record is from RNAcentral. Lineage: Bacteria; Pseudomonadati; Bacteroidota; Flavobacteriia; Flavobacteriales; Flavobacteriaceae.